RNAcentral lists this transfer RNA (74 nucleotides) under Elusimicrobiota bacterium. RNAcentral describes it as "Elusimicrobia bacterium (anaerobic digester metagenome) tRNA-Arg". It matches the Rfam family "tRNA". Rfam says of the family: Transfer RNA (tRNA) molecules are approximately 80 nucleotides in length. Their secondary structure includes four short double-helical elements and three loops (D, anti-codon, and T loops). Further hydrogen bonds mediate the characteristic L-shaped molecular structure. tRNAs have two regions of fundamental functional importance: the anti-codon, which is responsible for specific mRNA codon recognition, and the 3' end, to which the tRNAs corresponding amino acid is attached (by aminoacyl-tRNA synthetases). tRNAs cope with the degeneracy of the genetic code in two manners: having more than one tRNA (with a specific anti-codon) for a particular amino acid; and 'wobble' base-pairing, i.e. permitting non-standard base-pairing at the 3rd anti-codon position. The record is from RNAcentral. Lineage: Bacteria; Pseudomonadati; Elusimicrobiota.
GCGCCCAUAGUUCAACUGGACAGAACGUCGGGUUGCGGACCCGAAGCUUGCUGGUUCAAAUCCGGCUGGGCGCA